GAUGAACGCUAGCGGCAGGCCUAAUACAUGCAAGUCGGACGGGAUUUGGGAGCUUGCUCCCAAUGAGAGUGGCGCACGGGUGCGUAACACGUAUGUAACCUACCUUAGUCAGGGGGAUAGCCUCUCGAAAGAGAGAUUAAGACCGCAUAAAAUCACAGUAUAGCAUUAUACAAUGAUCAAAUAUUUAUAGGACUAAGAUGGGCAUGCGGAACAUUAGCUAGUUGGUGAGGUAACGGCCCACCAAGG
This 246-nucleotide ribosomal RNA is filed under the name uncultured bacterium. Its description in RNAcentral is "partial 16S ribosomal RNA". It matches the Rfam family "Bacterial small subunit ribosomal RNA", at positions 28 to 273 of the family's 1533-position model. The record is from RNAcentral.